Molecule: ribosomal RNA, 497 nt
Filed under: uncultured bacterium
Lineage: Bacteria
Description: partial 16S ribosomal RNA
Rfam family: Bacterial small subunit ribosomal RNA
Source: RNAcentral
GAUGAACGCUGGCGGCGUGCCUAAUACAUGCAAGUCGAGCGAACAGACGAGGAGCUUGCUCCUCUGACGUUAGCGGCGGACGGGUGAGUAACACGUGGAUAACCUACCUAUAAGACUGGGAUAACUUCGGGAAACCGGAGCUAAUACCGGAUAACAUGUUGAACCGCAUGGUUCAACAGUGAAAGACGGUCUUGCUGUCACUUAUAGAUGGAUCCGCGCCGCAUUAGCUAGUUGGUAAGGUAACGGCUUACCAAGGCAACGAUGCGUAGCCGACCUGAGAGGGUGAUCGGCCACACUGGAACUGAGACACGGUCCAGACUCCUACGGGAGGCAGCAGUAGGGAAGCUUCCGCAAUGGGCGAAAGCCUGACGGAGCAACGCCGCGUGAGUGAAGAAGGUCUUCGGAUCGUAAAACUCUGUUAUUAGGGAAGAACAAAUGUGUAAGUAACUAUGCACGGCUUGACGGUACCUAAUCAGAAAGCCACGGCUAACUACGUG